RNAcentral lists this ribosomal RNA (1346 nucleotides) under Staphylococcus aureus. Its description in RNAcentral is "bacterial SSU rRNA". It matches the Rfam family "Bacterial small subunit ribosomal RNA", at positions 201 to 1533 of the family's 1533-position model. The record is from RNAcentral. Lineage: Bacteria; Bacillati; Bacillota; Bacilli; Caryophanales; Staphylococcaceae.
UGAAAGACGGUCUUGCUGUCACUUAUAGAUGGAUCCGCGCUGCAUUAGCUAGUUGGUAAGGUAACGGCUUACCAAGGCAACGAUGCAUAGCCGACCUGAGAGGGUGAUCGGCCACACUGGAACUGAGACACGGUCCAGACUCCUACGGGAGGCAGCAGUAGGGAAUCUUCCGCAAUGGGCGAAAGCCUGACGGAGCAACGCCGCGUGAGUGAUGAAGGUCUUCGGAUCGUAAAACUCUGUUAUUAGGGAAGAACAUAUGUGUAAGUAACUGUGCACAUCUUGACGGUACCUAAUCAGAAAGCCACGGCUAACUACGUGCCAGCAGCCGCGGUAAUACGUAGGUGGCAAGCGUUAUCCGGAAUUAUUGGGCGUAAAGCGCGCGUAGGCGGUUUUUUAAGUCUGAUGUGAAAGCCCACGGCUCAACCGUGGAGGGUCAUUGGAAACUGGAAAACUUGAGUGCAGAAGAGGAAAGUGGAAUUCCAUGUGUAGCGGUGAAAUGCGCAGAGAUAUGGAGGAACACCAGUGGCGAAGGCGACUUUCUGGUCUGUAACUGACGCUGAUGUGCGAAAGCGUGGGGAUCAAACAGGAUUAGAUACCCUGGUAGUCCACGCCGUAAACGAUGAGUGCUAAGUGUUAGGGGGUUUCCGCCCCUUAGUGCUGCAGCUAACGCAUUAAGCACUCCGCCUGGGGAGUACGACCGCAAGGUUGAAACUCAAAGGAAUUGACGGGGACCCGCACAAGCGGUGGAGCAUGUGGUUUAAUUCGAAGCAACGCGAAGAACCUUACCAAAUCUUGACAUCCUUUGACAACUCUAGAGAUAGAGCCUUCCCCUUCGGGGGACAAAGUGACAGGUGGUGCAUGGUUGUCGUCAGCUCGUGUCGUGAGAUGUUGGGUUAAGUCCCGCAACGAGCGCAACCCUUAAGCUUAGUUGCCAUCAUUAAGUUGGGCACUCUAAGUUGACUGCCGGUGACAAACCGGAGGAAGGUGGGGAUGACGUCAAAUCAUCAUGCCCCUUAUGAUUUGGGCUACACACGUGCUACAAUGGACAAUACAAAGGGCAGCGAAACCGCGAGGUCAAGCAAAUCCCAUAAAGUUGUUCUCAGUUCGGAUUGUAGUCUGCAACUCGACUACAUGAAGCUGGAAUCGCUAGUAAUCGUAGAUCAGCAUGCUACGGUGAAUACGUUCCCGGGUCUUGUACACACCGCCCGUCACACCACGAGAGUUUGUAACACCCGAAGCCGGUGGAGUAACCUUUUAGGAGCUAGCCGUCGAAGGUGGGACAAAUGAUUGGGGUGAAGUCGUAACAAGGUAGCCGUAUCGGAAGGUGCGGCUGGAUCACCUCCUUU